RNAcentral lists this ribosomal RNA (1074 nucleotides) under Articulospora tetracladia. Its description in RNAcentral is "eukaryotic LSU rRNA". The stretch from base 472 to 1074 matches the Rfam family "Eukaryotic large subunit ribosomal RNA", at positions 1 to 623 of the family's 3401-position model. The record is from RNAcentral. Lineage: Eukaryota; Fungi; Ascomycota; Leotiomycetes; Helotiales; Discinellaceae.
CAUUACAGAGUUCAUGCCCUCACGGGUAGAUCUCCCACCCUUGAAUAUUUAUACCUUAGUUGCUUUGGCAGGCCGUGGAAACACCAUGGGCUCCGGCUUAUGCGUGCCUGCCAGAGGAAACAAACUCUGUUUUUAGUGAUGUCUGAGUACUAUAUAAUAGUUAAAACUUUCAACAACGGAUCUCUUGGUUCUGGCAUCGAUGAAGAACGCAGCGAAAUGCGAUAAGUAAUGUGAAUUGCAGAAUUCAGUGAAUCAUCGAAUCUUUGAACGCACAUUGCGCCCCGUGGUAUUCCGCGGGGCAUGCCUGUUCGAGCGUCAUUUCAACCCAUCAAGCUUCGGCUUGGACUUGGGGCCUGCGGUUUCGCAGCCUCUAAACCCAGUGGCGGUGCUAUUUGAGCUCUGAGCGUAGUAAUUUUUCUCGCUAUAGGGUCUCGGUAGUUACUUGCCAGUAACCCCCAAUUUUUAUCAGGUUGACCUCGGAUCAGGUAGGGAUACCCGCUGAACUUAAGCAUAUCAAUAAGCGGAGGAAAAGAAACCAACAGGGAUUACCUCAGUAACGGCGAGUGAAGCGGUAACAGCUCAAAUUUGAAAUCUGCCGCAAGGCCGAGUUGUAAUUUGUAGAAGAUGCUUUGGGUAUGGCCCCGGUCUAAGUUCGUUGGAACACGACGUCAUAGAGGGUGAGAAUCCCGUAUGUGACUGGGUGCUUUUGCCUAUGUAAAGCUCUUUCGACGAGUCGAGUUGUUUGGGAAUGCAGCUCAAAAUGGGUGGUAUAUUUCAUCUAAAGCUAAAUAUUGGCCAGAGACCGAUAGCGCACAAGUAGAGUGAUCGAAAGAUGAAAAGCACUUUGGAAAGAGAGUUAAACAGUACGUGAAAUUGUUGAAAGGGAAGCGCUUGCAACCAGACUUGCACGCUGUUGAUCAUCCAGGCUUCUGUUUGGUGCACUCAACUGUGUUCAGGCCAGCAUCGGUUUUGGUGGUGGGAUAAAGGCCUUGGGAAUGUAGCUUCUUUCGGGGAGUGUUAUAGCCCUCGGUGCAAUGCCGCCUACUGGGACCGAGGACCGCGCUUCGGCUAGGA